This 229-nucleotide long non-coding RNA is filed under the name Elaeis guineensis (African oil palm). RNAcentral describes it as "long non-coding RNA (EGUI_LNC023732)". The record is from RNAcentral. Lineage: Eukaryota; Viridiplantae; Streptophyta; Magnoliopsida; Arecales; Arecaceae.
ACCGCGUGGGCGGUUCCCACGCGUUUCUCGCGGUCCACGGCACUAUUCCAUGGACCAAAGCAUGAUCGGAGGGCUCAGGUGACUCCCGGUCUUGAUCCGACGGUCUGGGACGUGAUUUGGGUUGAUUAAGGACUCCUAAACCUAAUCUAAACCAUGUUUAAGCCCUUUAAAAGCCCUGUGAGGCAACAGAGAUGGCGUGGGGUUUGGUUUUGCACUAUGGGCGCCGCAC